AGUUUGAUCCUGGCUCAGAACGAACGCUGGCGGCAUGCCUAACACAUGCAAGUCGAACGAGACCUUCGGGUCUAGUGGCGCACGGGUGCGUAACGCGUGGGAACCUGCCUUUAGGUUCGGAAUAACUCAGAGAAAUUUGAGCUAAUACCGGAUAAUGUCUUCGGACCAAAGAUUUAUCGCCUUUAGAUGGGCCCGCGUUGGAUUAGCUAGUUGGUGGGGUAAAGGCCUACCAAGGCGACGAUCCAUAGCUGGUCUGAGAGGAUGAUCAGCCACAUUGGGACUGAGACACGGCCCAAACUCCUACGGGAGGCAGCAGUGGGGGAAUAUUGGACAAUGGGCGCAAGCCUGAUCCAGCCAUGCCGCGUGAGUGACGAAGGCCCUAGGGUUGUAAAGCUCUUUCACCGGUGAAGAUAAUGACGGUAACCGGAGAAGAAGCCCCGGCUAACUUCGUG
This 452-nucleotide ribosomal RNA is filed under the name uncultured bacterium. RNAcentral's name for it is "bacterial SSU rRNA". It matches the Rfam family "Bacterial small subunit ribosomal RNA", at positions 10 to 507 of the family's 1533-position model. The record is from RNAcentral.